GUCAAGGUUUCGACAGGGAUCAUGAAGCGGAAGAAGCACGUCGAGGAUGGUGGACACCUCGUAAAUCCGACACCACAAAAUAAUCGCUAAAGACGAUUACGCACUGGCUGCAGCGUAAACGCAGCUUCACCUUCGGGUGAUAAGCCCCCACGAUAACGCCGCUAUACUCGUGGGGGUUCAAAAGUAGCGGCUGCAUGCUGUAAAGCAAGUUCUCGAGAAGCAGCUCAAGACUAUCGCGAACCCGGAGAAGCAAAGUCUGUCUGUUAACUUGUUCUCCAGGUAUGAAGACAGAAUAAACGUGUAGAAGAGACGGGGAUUGAUUUUUGGACGCGGGUUCGACUCCCGCCUGGUCCAC
This 355-nucleotide transfer-messenger RNA is filed under the name bovine gut metagenome. It matches the Rfam family "transfer-messenger RNA". From Rfam's summary of the family: Bacterial tmRNA, also known as 10Sa RNA or SsrA, is named for its dual tRNA and mRNA-like properties. Its role is to liberate the mRNA from a stalled ribosome. To accomplish this part of the tmRNA is used as a reading frame that ends in a translation stop signal. The record is from RNAcentral.